This 182-nucleotide microRNA precursor is filed under the name Aedes aegypti (yellow fever mosquito). RNAcentral's name for it is "partial AAEL017601-RA". The record is from RNAcentral. Lineage: Eukaryota; Metazoa; Arthropoda; Insecta; Diptera; Culicidae.
UUAAUUGCUUAAAAUGAAUUUGAUGCUUAAAUUACUUAAAUUUACUUAUUCUUUGAAUGACUUUAAAUGGUUUGAUUUGACUUCAAAUUGCCUCAAUUCGCUUGAAAUUUCUUUCAAAUGCAUAAACCGGUUAAUAAUUAUUUAAAAUUACUUGGAAUGGCUUUCAAUGGCCUAAAAUAGAU